GCGGGGGUAGCCUAGCCUGGUAUGGCGCUGGCCUGCUAAGCCAGUGAUCGUAUGAUCGCGCGAGUUCAAAUCCCGCCCCCCGCG
RNAcentral lists this transfer RNA (84 nucleotides) under Candidatus Wukongarchaeota archaeon. Its description in RNAcentral is "tRNA-Ser". It matches the Rfam family "tRNA". Rfam says of the family: Transfer RNA (tRNA) molecules are approximately 80 nucleotides in length. Their secondary structure includes four short double-helical elements and three loops (D, anti-codon, and T loops). Lineage: Archaea; Promethearchaeati; Candidatus Wukongarchaeota. The record is from RNAcentral.